Molecule: long non-coding RNA, 2815 nt
Organism: Marmota monax (woodchuck)
Lineage: Eukaryota; Metazoa; Chordata; Mammalia; Rodentia; Sciuridae
Exons: 3
Source: RefSeq, a predicted model, not a curated record
CCUCGGCUGAUCAGAAAGCGGGUGGAGGGCGUGCCUUUCCUUUCUUAUUGGGCCUGAAGUAAAGCAGACUGCUGCCCCACCCCGACCCCGACCCCGCUGCCCGCCUCGUCCGCGUCUCAGCAAGUGGCCGCUCCACGGCUCCCUGCGCUCAAGCCAGCCCCCCUGGAAGGGUGUCACGGAGCGCACGGGCGGGUUGUCUAGCGAGUCCGAAGAGUGGGAUCCACGGACACGGGGUGUGAAGCAGCAAAGUGACGGGGUUCAUUGGAGUACAGGAAAGCAGAGCUCCCGAGAGGGUAGGGCCCCUAGACAGGGCUGCCCGCGGGUCGUUGUCGGGGGUUUCUAUUCGUUACUGAUGAGGAAAAGCCUUCUGGCGCAAUUGAAAGUUUCUGGAGGCUGAAAAUCCAAGAUUGAGGCACCACUAGGUUUUGUGUCCUGAGAACCUGGUUUCUGCUACCGGGAUGAUGCUGUGCUCCUGUGUCCUCUGGAGGAGAGGAACCACCACGUCCUCAAACAGCAGAAGAGAUGGUGGGAAAUGGGCACCUGCAAGACCUGAGGACAAAAGCAGGGGCAAGCUCAGCUCUUCGCCUUGGCAGCUGUGAGGAUGGCUGGGGCCUGAGCCUAAGCAACCCCAUUUAAAACUCCAGUUUGAAACCUGCAGUCUCACCAGGCACACCUAGGAGCCCUCCAUAUGGCCCUCAGGCACCAGCAAGUCACUUCCCCACCCUGGUAAACUCAGAGUGAAGUCUCAGGCAGGCUGUUCUCACCCAAUAAGAGGAAAAGGUGAAGGAUCAGGGUGGAGACCAACAGACAAAAUGUUUUAACCCCAGGGUAAAUGAUGUCACUGAGAAAUCUGGUGGCAGCUGAUAGGGAUUGAAAGGGGGGGUCAAAAGUCCCAAAAUUUAGUAUAAAUACUAGAGCAAAUGAACAGACUUUCAGCCAGCUGACACUGAUGCCCUCAGCUGAGAACCUGAUGAGGACCUGGACCGACACCCCAACACUUUUCAUCCUUUGCUGAUCCUCUGCAUCUUCCUCACCGCUCACAGCCACAUCUUGACCCUGGAGAGAGCAAGGACUUCUCCGCUGACAUUCUCUUCAGCCAGCCAUCAGAUCACCAAGGUCUGAGUGAGUGUGCAUCUGCUGGAUUUAAAGCUUAAGACUUUUUUUCCCUUUUAAAAAAAAAAUUAUAUAUGACAGCAGAAUGCAUUACAAUUCUUACUACACAUAUAGAGCACAGUUUUUCAUAUCUCUGGUUGUAAACAUAGUAUACUCACACCAAUUCGUGUCUUCAUACCUGUACUUUGGAUAAUGAUGAUCAUUACAUUCCACCAUCAUUAAUUACCCCAUGCUCCCUCCCUUCCGCUCCAACCCCUCUGCCCUAUCUAGAGUUCGUCUAUUCCUCCCAUGUUCCCUCUCACUAUCCCACUAUGAAUCAGCCUCCAUAUAUCAAAGAAAACACUUGGCAUUUGCUUUUUGGAAUUGGCUAACUUCACUUAGCAUUAUCUUCUAUAACUCCAUCCAUUUACCUCCAAAUGCCAUGAUUUUAUUCUCUUUUAUUGCUGAGUAAUAUUCCAUUGUGUAUAUAUGCCACAUUUUUUUUAUGCAUUCAUCCACUGAAGGGCAUCUAGGUUGGUUCCACAAUUUAGCUAUUGUGAAUUGUGCUGCUGUAAACAUUGAUGUGGCUGUGUCCUUGUAGGAUGCUGCUUCUAAGUCCUUUGGGUAUAGACCAAGGAGAGGGACAGCUGGGUCAAAUGGUGGUUCCAUUCCCAAUUUUCCAAGAAAUCUCCAUACUACUUUCCAUAUUGGCUGCACCAAUUUGCAGUACCACCACAGUGUAUGAGUGUGCCUUUUCCCCCCACAUCCUCACCAACACUUAUUGUUGUCUUCAUAAUAGCUUCCAUUUUGACUGGAGUGAGAUGAAAUCUUAGAGUGGUUUUGAUUUGCAUUUCUCUAAUUGCUAGUGAUAAUGAACAUUUUUUUAUGUAUUUGUUGAUUGAUUGUAUAUCCUCUUCUGAGAAGUGUCCCUUCAGGUCCUUGGCCCAUUUAUAGGCUUAAGACUUUUGAUCUAACACUGAACUUAGCACACAGAGGGAAUGUCUGUCAUUAGCCUGUCAUGAUUAAGUGUGUUUGCAGUGCUCAGAAUUAAUCAAUCUAGAAUUGUUUGCUGUGAAUUAAUCUAGAAUUGUUUGCUGUGAAUUGAUUAUUGCCGCAGUCUGGCUGGGCACAAAUGCCGCAGUCUGGCUGGGCACACAAUCACGAGCCACCACACAACUUGUAGAUUCAAACAGCAACUCUUUAUUCCCGAACUCACACCAGCCGUCUACAAUCACGUUCUGGGGAAAUCCACGUUCUCUUCCCAAAUCCACGUUCUCUGCCCAAAUCCACGUUCUCUGCCCAAAUUCACGUUCUCUGCCCAAAUCCCCGUCCACUGGGCUUCUAUCUCCAAAAUAUAUUGUCUGAAUCCCGUGAGAACUCAAGGGGAACUCAGGCAGCAGGAUACGCCCUAUUCCCAGCAGGAAUAAUCUUAAACCUUAAACCUGGAACCUAAACUGGGAACGCCCUAAACACGAUUAUCUUAAAACCGGGAACACCCUAAUCUGCCUUGGUCCUUGAGCAAGGUCACGUACAUUCAAUGUCACUGCAACAUGGGGUACGCUGGCAAGGAAAUUGUCAUACCUACUUGGCUAAUGGCUCCCAGCAGAUUAUGUCAAUUGCAGUGCCUAGCAUUAAGGAUUGACAUUUUUUUUUCUGAUUAAGAACUGAUAGAGUGAAAUUGUAUUGAGUGAUUUGAGUGAAUAAAGCAUUGGAAAGGGCAGAA